RNAcentral lists this ribosomal RNA (468 nucleotides) under uncultured bacterium. RNAcentral describes it as "partial 16S ribosomal RNA". It matches the Rfam family "Bacterial small subunit ribosomal RNA", at positions 28 to 507 of the family's 1533-position model. The record is from RNAcentral.
GACGAACGCUGGCGGCGUGCUUAACACAUGCAAGUCGAACGGAAAGGCCCUGCUUUUGUGGGGUGCUCGAGUGGCGAACGGGUGAGUAACACGUGAGUAACCUGCCCUUGACUUUGGGAUAACUUCAGGAAACUGGGGCUAAUACCGGAUAGGAGCUCCUGCUGCAUGGUGGGGGUUGGAAAGUUUCGGCGGUUGGGGAUGGACUCGCGGCUUAUCAGCUUGUUGGUGGGGUAGUGGCUUACCAAGGCUUUGACGGGUAGCCGGCCUGAGAGGGUGACCGGCCACAUUGGGACUGAGAUAGGGCCCAGACUCCUACGGGAGGCAGCGGUGGGGAAUAUUGCACAAUGGGCGGAAGCCUGAUGCAGCAACGCCGCGUGCGGGAUGACGGCCUUCGGGUUGUAAACCGCUUUCGCCUGUGACGAAGCGUGAGUGACGGUAAUGGGUAAAGAAGCACCGGCUAACUACGUG